Sphaerodactylus townsendi is the source of this 1350-nucleotide long non-coding RNA. RefSeq lists it as uncharacterized. The record is from RefSeq and is a predicted model, not a curated record. The transcript has 3 exons. NCBI's taxonomy places the organism in Eukaryota, Metazoa, Chordata, Lepidosauria, Squamata, Sphaerodactylidae.
GCCUCCGCCCACGAGGCUGCUGUACGGAGAGAAGAAGGCCUCGCCGGGAAUCUUUGGGACUGGAAAACCACUGGCAGGACGCACGUGGCUCCGGCUUCCGGGAGGGCGGGACUACGCAGGAAGGCACCGCUGGCUUCUGUUCUCUGCCGGCGCAGGACUGAGAUCCGUCCCCUCCUUUGGGGCAAAAGGCGAUUUUAAAACGGAAAGUUCAGUUGUAGGCCGCAGGUUCCCAAUGUAUCGUAGGACUCACUCAGCAAUAUUUCUUUCUCGCCCAAGAAAUCAAGACUACAUCUCCCAGCAACCUUCGAGAAAGACGUUACGCAAAACCACAGUCCUUCCGUACUUGCCAUCCACAGGCAGUAACAGUUGUUCCGCCUACUGGAUUUACGGGUAGAAGGCAACCUUGCUCCGAAACCUGUCUGCAUUUAGUGUCUUCCAUAAACAGUGUUGUUCUGGAGUCCUGUCACGUCAUCAAAAAGUUUAUAACAUAGAGUUUAGUGGUUUAAGUCCAGGUGUUUGUGUAUACUCUCUUUUAUGUUUUGUGUCAAUGUGGGCUGGUCCUAAUAAAAGUUAUUACAUGGAUUGUGUUAUAUGUGGCUGUACAACUUUUAAUAUUGCCUCCUAGCCUGAUAUUAAGAGCUAGGUCAGCAGGUCAUACUAGCAUUUCUUUCCUUUGCUUGACUGUUUUGCGUGACUCUGUGUCCUGUUUGGGAAGCAGGCUGCCUCACCUAAAACAUGUGCCUAACUGACCCAGGCACAGGACAUAAAUGGUAAACAAGGACUAACAAAACAGUCCCAGCUUCUACUGCCAGUAUUCACUUUCCAGGAACUGGAACAAGAGCUUCUACUUAGAAAGUGGUAGAUAGGGCAUCUUGCUGUUGCUACACAAACCUUUGCUUUCACAAUAACAGCUACAGCGGGAAGAAACAUAGAAUUCCUACCGCAGACUUUAAGCACAAUCUCUAGCAACAACAUGCUAGUAAGCAUUUAUUGCUUUAACCAAGCUACACAAAUACUAAUAAAGUAUUUAAAAUAUUUCCGUCUUACCUUAAUUACUGAGCUUUUGUUGUUAAAUUAUGUGGAAGUGUAACAGUAGGCGAAGAAGCAACUACUUCUGGAUCAUCAAAAAAGUAGGCCUACAAGAUCGGAAAUAGUGGGGAAGAAAACAAUACAUUAUAUAACAACUACAAAUUAACUUCCUGUGCAUUCUACACAGUUUACACUGUCAUUACCUCUUGGCAACAAUCCUAAUGAUUCUUUGACUAUCAGUAAUACAGCUAAACAAUUUCUCACAAACAACACAAUGUUUGGUUGUGGUGGGUUUUCUGGGCCGUGCAUCUGUGGCCGUGA